Molecule: small nucleolar RNA, 106 nt
Organism: Macaca fascicularis (crab-eating macaque)
Lineage: Eukaryota; Metazoa; Chordata; Mammalia; Primates; Cercopithecidae
Source: Ensembl
AUUCUUUUGUAGUUAGUAAGUGUGAUGAUUGGAUUUUCAUGCUCUUAUGUGAGAUGUGUCUCCCUCAAACCUUGUCAUGGCAUCUUGGCACAUUACCCAUCUGAUG